RNAcentral lists this transfer RNA (77 nucleotides) under Clostridiaceae bacterium. RNAcentral's name for it is "tRNA-Arg". It matches the Rfam family "tRNA". From Rfam's summary of the family: Transfer RNA (tRNA) molecules are approximately 80 nucleotides in length. Their secondary structure includes four short double-helical elements and three loops (D, anti-codon, and T loops). Further hydrogen bonds mediate the characteristic L-shaped molecular structure. tRNAs have two regions of fundamental functional importance: the anti-codon, which is responsible for specific mRNA codon recognition, and the 3' end, to which the tRNAs corresponding amino acid is attached (by aminoacyl-tRNA synthetases). tRNAs cope with the degeneracy of the genetic code in two manners: having more than one tRNA (with a specific anti-codon) for a particular amino acid; and 'wobble' base-pairing, i.e. permitting non-standard base-pairing at the 3rd anti-codon position. Lineage: Bacteria; Bacillati; Bacillota; Clostridia; Eubacteriales; Clostridiaceae. The record is from RNAcentral.
GCGCCCAUAGCUCAACUGGAUAGAGCGUCUGGCUACGGACCAGAAGGUUGUGGAUUCAAGUUCUGCUGGGCGCGCCA